RNAcentral lists this ribosomal RNA (274 nucleotides) under uncultured bacterium. RNAcentral's name for it is "partial 16S ribosomal RNA". It matches the Rfam family "Bacterial small subunit ribosomal RNA", at positions 523 to 796 of the family's 1533-position model. The record is from RNAcentral.
AUACAGAGGGUGCGAGCGUUAAUCGGAAUUACUGGGCGUAAAGCGCGCGUAGGUGGUUAUGUAAGUCGGAUGUGAAAGCCCCGGGCUCAACCUGGGAAUUGCAUUCGAAACUGCAUGACUAGAGUCUGAUAGAGGGAAGUGGAAUUUCCGGUGUAGCGGUGAAAUGCGUAGAUAUCGGAAGGAACAUCAGUGGCGAAGGCGGCUUCCUGGAUUAAGACUGACACUAAGGUGCGAAAGCGUGGGGAGCAAACAGGAUUAGAUACCCCAGUAGUCC